Molecule: long non-coding RNA, 3754 nt
Organism: Myxocyprinus asiaticus (Chinese sucker)
Lineage: Eukaryota; Metazoa; Chordata; Actinopteri; Cypriniformes; Catostomidae
Exons: 7
Source: RefSeq, a predicted model, not a curated record
CUUUGUAGUCAAUUGAAAUAUAUUUACAAAUAGUUGUGCUGUUAUUUUUUAUCCAAUCUACAGAAACUCUGUCACUAUCAUUCAAAAUUGAGUGGCAGGACAGAUUUGCAGUAUUCCCUCUGAUAACAUUCACAGCACCUGUGGGAGGUUCUGCUUUCCCAUUAAAGGGACAGGCCUGCAUACUGGAAAGGGAGACCACACAAUUUCACAAUCCGCUCUGAACACUCAGCAAGCAGCAGUCUUCACACAAGACUCCCACUAGUCUGGUACAGGGUCUCCAUGAAUCAGCCUCAUGCUCCUUUUGGUGAGGAAUGAUGGGGGCUUUUAAAGAGAGGAGACAGCGGCAGUCGAAUGAGAGAGCCCAGCUGAGAAGCUGCUCGUGUGUUGGCCGCUGCCGUGUUGCAACUUUUGAGUGUGUGAAUUGAAGCUUCACCGUUGUGCUUUAAUCGAAUGUGUUUAUUUUUGUGAAUAAAAGAGUGACAUUCCUGAGUUGGAAUCGCCGUCUCCCACUUCCUCAUUCCUGAACCUCAUUACAAUUGGCAAGGAAAAGUAUGUGAAUCAUUUGGAAUUAGCUGGUUUUCUGCAUUAAGUAGUCAUACAAUGUGAUAUUUUAUGUAUUUAUUGAACACAUCCCGUUAAUCAUUCACAUUGCAGUGGAAAAAGUGAACUCUUGGAUUUAAUAACUGGUAGUGGAUUUACUUCAAUGUUUAGGGUCAUUGUCCUGCUGCAUCAUCUAACUUCUACUGAGCUUCAGCUGGUGCACAGCCACCCUGAAAUUAUCCUGCAGGAUAUCUUGAUAAACGUGGUAAUUCAUUUUUCCCUCAAUGAUGGCAAGUAGCCCAGGCCCGAAUCAGCCCCAAAUCAUGAUGCUUCCUCGACCAUACUUCACCGCUGGGAUAAUGUUUUCAUAUUGGUCUGCGGUGCCCUUUUUACACUAUAUGAAAGUGCUGUGUGUUCUUCACAAACAAUUCAACCUUAGUUUCAUCAGUCCACAAAACAUUUUCCCAGUAGCACUGUGGAGUGUCAAGGUGGUCUUUGGAAAACUUCAGGUGUGCAGCAAUGUUUUUGUUGGAAAGCAGCAGCUUCCAUGGACACCAUGCCUGUUUAAUGUUUUCUGUACUCAUGAACAGAGAUGUGAACCAGUUCCAAUGAUUCCUCAAAUCUUUAGCUGUCACUCUAGGGUUCUUUUUUACCUCAAUGAGCAUUCUGCAGUGUGCCCUUUGAGUCAUCUUGGCUGGACGGCCACUUCUAGGGAGAGUAGCCACAGUACUAAAUCAUCUCCAUUUAUAGACAGUUUGUCUAACUGUGGACAGAUGAAUAUCUAAACUCUUCAAGAUAACUUUGUAACCCUUUCCAGCUUUAUGCAAAGCAACAAUUCUUGACCAUAGGUUUUCUGAGAUCUCUUUUUUGCGACGCAAGGUCCACGUCAGCAGAUGCUUCUUGUGAAUUGCAAACUCAAAAUGUUUGAGUGAUUUUUAUAAGUCAAAGUAGGUCUAAAUUACACCUCCAAUCGUGUUUCCUUAAUUGGAUGCCAGGUUUGCCAACUCCUGACUCUAACCAGGAAAUCUGCUUCUCGCCUCUUCUUUCCACUGAAAAGACUUACACUGGUGCCAAAACCCGGGAAAAAGUUUGAAGAUGGAUGGAAGUCGCCCUGUAGGGUCCUCCCAGUUGGCUGAGAUCCUCCAAACCCUCGCUGGCUUGCAUUGGAGCCACCAGCAAUCCCUGCUUGAGCUCCAGCAAGAUCAAGACCGCCGGUUUGUGGAGCUCAUGCGCGCUCAAGCAGAAGACCGACAGGCGAUGCCUCCUUAGCCAGGAGGCAUCCCCAGCUGGACACCCAAAUGCCGUUACCCCCACCUGCGUUACAGAAGAUGGGGGUGGCGGACGACACAGAGUUGUUCCUGGAUCUCUUCGAGUGCACCGCCGAGAUCUGGGGCUGGCCGCUCGGCCAGUGGGCGGCCCGACUCAUACCGCUGCUGUCCGGGGAAGCCCAGCUCGCAGCUCAACAACUACCAGCGACGAGCCUCCUGGCCUACGGAGACUUAAAGAAAGCCAUCCUGCAACGGGUUGGUCGGAGUCCGGAAGAAAGUCGUCAGCUCUUCCGGAGCCUGAACCUGGAGAACUCCGACCGCCCGUUUGCCUUCGCCCAACGGCUCUGCGACGCCUGCCGAAGAUGGUUGCUAGCGGGGGACCGCGGUGUUGACGGGAUCAUCGACCAGGUGGUACUGGAGCAAUUAGUACAUCAACUGCCAAAAGGGACGGCGGAGUGGGUCCAGUGCCACCACCCGGCGUCGCUGGAGGAAGCCAUCCGGCUUGCGGAGGACCACAUGGCGGCGAUCCUGAGGGGCGGAAGAGCCCUCCCUCUCUCUCUCUCUUUCUUCCCCCUGUCUCAUUCCCCUCCCCUAUCUCCUCUCGUUCUGCUCUCUCUCCAGGUCCCGUUCCUGCCCCACGCAGACGAGGAGGACUUCAGCCACUGAGACCAGUUCCCCGGGUGUGGGAGCCGACACCUACCCCUAUCCCGAUGCCCCACCGCUCUCCCCCUCAAGGGGGGGCGCCCACCGACGCAAGUGCGGGCGUAGCGCCUGGGCCAGUGCCCUCUGAUGGAGCUGGGGAUGGUGGUGCGGGUCUCUGACCUCCCCCAGGCUGCCCCCGACUGAGCUGGAGCGUACAGGAUACCGAUGCAGCUCACUGCUCAUAUCAGAAGAGGUGGAUGGAUGAUAUAUAUUUUGACCUUCUUUGCUCCAGGUGAAGUUCACCUGUGCAGGAUUCAGACCCUCCAAAGAGCAGAGCAGAUGGACACAGGUGGCAUUACUGCUGUUCAGUCGCUGCAGUGAGAGACCUGGAUGUACCAAAAUGAAUUUCAGUAUUCACACUGGGUUAAACUGUCACCACAACAGCAGAUGAUAUGAUUCCAAUAGCACUGUGUAUUAAUGUAGUCUAUUAUUGACAGCUAAUGUAUUCAAAAGGAAGGAAAUUCAAAUGGCUGAAUAAGGAAAUAAUGUAUGACUGCUACAAUCACCUUCAACAUGAAGUAUCACGUAUGAGAUGUACUCAGUUGUUGGUGGUGGAAUUAUUUUCACUGUUUUACAGGUGUAAUUACCAGCGUCACUGAGCUGAACAUUAUCUAUGCUUAGAAAUAAAUACUUUUUAUUCAAUGAAAAAUGAGGUUUGCAAAAUCCUGAGUCAGUUCUCUCUUUGUAGUCAAUUGAAAUAUAUUUACAAAUAGUUGUGCUGUUAUUUUUUAUCCAAUCUACAGAAACUCUGUCACUAUCAUUCAAAAUUGAGUGGCAGGACAGAUUUGCAGUAUUCCCUCUGAUAACAUUCACAGCACCUGUGGGAGGUUCUGCUUUCCCAUUAAAGGGACAGGCCUGCAUACUGGAAAGGGAGACCACACAAUUUCACAAUCCGCUCUGAACACUCAGCAAGCAGCAGUCUUCACACAAGACUCCCACUAGUCUGGUACAGGGUCUCCAUGAAUCAGCCUCAUGCUCCUUUUGGUGAGGAAUGAUGGGGGCUUUUAAAGAGAGGAGACAGCGGCAGUCGAAUGAGAGAGCCCAGCUGAGAAGCUGCUCGUGUGUUGGCCGCUGCCGUGUUGCAACUUUUGAGUGUGUGAAUUGAAGCUUCACCGUUGUGCUUUAAUCGAAUGUGUUUAUUUUUGUGAAUAAAAGAGUGACAUUCCUGAGUUGGAAUCGCCGUCUCCCACUUCCUCAUUCCUGAACCUCAUUACAAUUGGCAAGGAAAAGCUCAUGCUGGUGAC